GGAAUAGCUCAAUGUUAAAGUGCAUGCCUAGCAUGCAUGAGGUCCUGUGUUUAAUCCUCAGUACCUCCA
This 69-nucleotide transfer RNA is filed under the name Camelus bactrianus (Bactrian camel). It matches the Rfam family "tRNA". Rfam says of the family: Transfer RNA (tRNA) molecules are approximately 80 nucleotides in length. Their secondary structure includes four short double-helical elements and three loops (D, anti-codon, and T loops). Further hydrogen bonds mediate the characteristic L-shaped molecular structure. tRNAs have two regions of fundamental functional importance: the anti-codon, which is responsible for specific mRNA codon recognition, and the 3' end, to which the tRNAs corresponding amino acid is attached (by aminoacyl-tRNA synthetases). tRNAs cope with the degeneracy of the genetic code in two manners: having more than one tRNA (with a specific anti-codon) for a particular amino acid; and 'wobble' base-pairing, i.e. permitting non-standard base-pairing at the 3rd anti-codon position. RNAcentral also lists the same sequence under 2 other names. Lineage: Eukaryota; Metazoa; Chordata; Mammalia; Artiodactyla; Camelidae. The record is from Rfam by way of RNAcentral.